Molecule: ribosomal RNA, 460 nt
Filed under: uncultured bacterium
Lineage: Bacteria
Description: partial 16S ribosomal RNA
Rfam family: Bacterial small subunit ribosomal RNA
Source: RNAcentral
CCUACGGGUGGCUGCAGUGAGGAAUAUUGGUCAAUGGGCGGAAGCCUGAACCAGCCAAGUAGCGUGCAGGAUGACGGCCCUACGGGUUGUAAACUGCUUUUAUACGGGAAUAACGCGCCUUACGUGUAGGGCUUUGCAUGUACCGUAUGAAUAAGGACCGGCUAAUUCCGUGCCAGCAGCCGCGGUAAUACGGAAGGUCCGGGCGUUAUCCGGAUUUAUUGGGGUUAAAGGGAGCGUAGGCCGCAUGUCAAGCGUGCUGUGAAAUUUUCGGGCUCAACCCGGGCCUUGCAGCGCGAACUGGAGUGCUUGAGUCCGCGGAAAGUAGGCGGAAUUCGUGGUGUAGCGGUGAAAUGCUUAGAUAUGACGAAGAACCCCGAUUGCGAAGGCAGCUUGCUGCAGCGGAACUGACGCUGAUGCUCGAAAGCGCGGGUAUCGAACAGGAUUAGAUACCCUGGUAGUC